RNAcentral lists this ribosomal RNA (274 nucleotides) under uncultured bacterium. RNAcentral's name for it is "partial 16S ribosomal RNA". It matches the Rfam family "Bacterial small subunit ribosomal RNA", at positions 523 to 796 of the family's 1533-position model. The record is from RNAcentral.
AUACGGAGGGUGCGAGCGUUAAUCGGAAUUACUGGGCGUAAAGGGUGCGUAGGCGGCUUGAUAAGUCGGAUGUGAAAGCCCCGGGCUUAACCUGGGAAUUGCAUUCGAUACUGUCAGGCUAGAGUAUGUCAGAGGUUGGCGGAAUUCCUAGUGUAGCGGUGAAAUGCGUAGAUAUCAGGAGGAACACCAGUGGCGAAGGCGGCUAACUGGGGCAAUACUGACGCUGAGGCACGAAAGCGUGGGGAGCAAACAGGAUGAGAAACCCUAGUAGUCC